This 55-nucleotide transfer RNA is filed under the name Blomia tropicalis. Its description in RNAcentral is "tRNA-His". The record is from RNAcentral. Lineage: Eukaryota; Metazoa; Arthropoda; Arachnida; Sarcoptiformes; Echimyopodidae.
GAUUAAUUAGUUUAAAGAAAAUAUUAACUUGUGGAGUUAAAGAUUUAGUUAGUCA